Molecule: ribosomal RNA, 497 nt
Filed under: uncultured bacterium
Lineage: Bacteria
Description: partial 16S ribosomal RNA
Rfam family: Bacterial small subunit ribosomal RNA
Source: RNAcentral
GAUGGACGCUGGCGGCGUGCCUAAUACAUGCAAGUCGAGCGAACAGACGAGGAGCUUGCUCCUCUGACGUUAGCGGCGGACGGGUGAGUAACACGUGGAUAACCUACCUAUAAGACUGGGAUAACUUCGGGAAACCGGAGCUAAUACCGGAUAAUAUAUUGAACCGCAUGGUUCAAUAGUGAAAGACGGUUUUGCUGUCACUUAUAGAUGGAUCCGCGCCGCAUUAGCUAGUUGGUAAGGUAACGGCUUACCAAGGCAACGAUGCGUAGCCGACCUGAGAGGGUGAUCGGACACACUGGAACUGAGACACGGUCCAGACUCCUACGGGAGGCAGCAGUAGGGAAUCUUCCGCAAUGGGCGAAAGCCUGACGGAGCAACGCCGCGUGAGUGAUGAAGGUCUUCGGAUCGUAAAACUCUGUUAUUAGGGAAGAACAAAUGUGUAAGUAACUAUGCACGUCUUGACGGUACCUAAUCAGAAAGCCACGGCUAACUACGUG